This 724-nucleotide ribosomal RNA is filed under the name Limosilactobacillus fermentum. RNAcentral describes it as "bacterial SSU rRNA". It matches the Rfam family "Bacterial small subunit ribosomal RNA", at positions 50 to 731 of the family's 1533-position model. The record is from RNAcentral. Lineage: Bacteria; Bacillati; Bacillota; Bacilli; Lactobacillales; Lactobacillaceae.
AGUACAUGCAGUCGAACGCGUUGGCCCAAUUGAUUGAUGGUGCUUGCACCUGAUUGAUUUUGGUCGCCAACGAGUGGCGGACGGGUGAGUAACACGUAGGUAACCUGCCCAGAAGCGGGGGACAACAUUUGGAAACAGAUGCUAAUACCGCAUAACAGCGUUGUUCGCAUGAACAACGCUUAAAAGAUGGCUUCUCGCUAUCACUUCUGGAUGGACCUGCGGUGCAUUAGCUUGUUGGUGGGGUAACGGCCUACCAAGGCGAUGAUGCAUAGCCGAGUUGAGAGACUGAUCGGCCACAAUGGGACUGAGACACGGCCCAUACUCCUACGGGAGGCAGCAGUAGGGAAUCUUCCACAAUGGGCGCAAGCCUGAUGGAGCAACACCGCGUGAGUGAAGAAGGGUUUCGGCUCGUAAAGCUCUGUUGUUAAAGAAGAACACGUAUGAGAGUAACUGUUCAUACGUUGACGGUAUUUAACCAGAAAGUCACGGCUAACUACGUGCCAGCAGCCGCGGUAAUACGUAGGUGGCAAGCGUUAUCCGGAUUUAUUGGGCGUAAAGAGAGUGCAGGCGGUUUUCUAAGUCUGAUGUGAAAGCCUUCGGCUUAACCGGAGAAGUGCAUCGGAAACUGGAUAACUUGAGUGCAGAAGAGGGUAGUGGAACUCCAUGUGUAGCGGUGGAAUGCGUAGAUAUAUGGAAGAACACCAGUGGCGAAGGCGGCUACCUG